Molecule: long non-coding RNA, 269 nt
Filed under: Phoenix dactylifera (date palm)
Lineage: Eukaryota; Viridiplantae; Streptophyta; Magnoliopsida; Arecales; Arecaceae
Description: long non-coding RNA (PDAC_LNC006501)
Source: RNAcentral
AUAUAUAAGAGUGAAGUCUCCCCCUAUAUCAUUUAAAUGUUGCCAAUUUGACUUUUUGAAUUGCUCCCCCUUUCAUUUAUAAUUCAUUAGCGAUGAAACUUCAAAAAUUUGAGAUAAAAUAUGAGUUUCAGGUUAUGUAUCGGGGUGCGAGAGGUGCGUGCCAAAUUCUGAAAUUAUAUGUGCCAAAUUCUGAAAUUUGAUAGAAAUUUUUGAUUUGAUGAUUUUCAUUGUUACAAAUUGCUCCCCCUUAGAUGUAUAUGCUUUCUUAU